RNAcentral lists this non-coding RNA (778 nucleotides) under Agriotes obscurus (dusky wireworm). Lineage: Eukaryota; Metazoa; Arthropoda; Insecta; Coleoptera; Elateridae. The record is from RNAcentral.
UUCUUCUUUUCGCUUAAAGUUUUAUUAAAGCUUAGAAUUUUAGUCUAUUUUUUUUUUACAUGUAAAUUUUUUUUUUAAACAACAAUUUGUGCAGUAUUUAAUUUUAUAAAUUAAUUUAUUUUGGAUUUAGAAAUUGAUAAGAGUUUUAAUAUAGUUUGUGCCAGCAAUUGCGGUUAUACAAACGAUGCAAUUAAAAUUUAUUGGUUAGUAAUUAAAUGUUUAUUUUAUGUAGAAAUUUAUUAUUAAAUUUUUUAGGUGAAAUUUUAAGUUUAAUAUAAGUUUAUAUAUGUUUUUUGAGGUUAUUAAAAUUUUCUUUUAGACUAGGAUUAGAUACCCUAUUAUUAAAAUUGUAAAAUGUUAUUAUGCCUGAUUAUUAUUAGAUUAUUUACUUGAAAAUUAAAGAUUUUGGCGGUAUUUUAGUCCAUUCAGAGGAACCUGUCCUGUAAUUGAUAGCCCACGAUUUACUUUACUUUUUUUUCCAGCUUGUAUAUCGUCGUGGUAUGAGUAUUUCAGAAGAAUUAAUAAUAUUCAAUAAGUAAAAUCAUAGUUUAUGUCAGAUCAAGGUGCAGCUUAUAAGGAAGAAGAGAUGGGUUACAAUAAAAUUAUUUUUGGUUUGUUUUUUUAAAUAUUAAUUAAUAAAUUGGAUUUGAAUGUAAUAAUUUUUAAAUUAUUAUUGUGAUUAUUGGCUCUAAGAUAUACACAUAUUGCCCGUCACUCUCGUUGAAUAUGAGAUAAGUCGUAACAUAGUAGAUGUACUGGAAAGUGUAUCUAGAAAGAU